AACAAAGUUAAAAACAAUAAAAAGAAAUGCAUAUUGGUAUGAUAAUUUCAUUUAUUAAAUUAAAAAUGCUCCUAUAAUUCAAUAACUUGAUAUUAAAAAAAUUUAAAAAUCACAAAAGAAAAAUGGUGUGGCAGUAGUAAUUAUGACAAUCCUAAAAUUGAAGUGUUUGGGGUUUGAAUUCUAUAUCUAUGUGCUUUUGACUCAUUUAAG
Molecule: unclassified non-coding RNA, 210 nt
Filed under: Hevea brasiliensis (rubber tree)
Lineage: Eukaryota; Viridiplantae; Streptophyta; Magnoliopsida; Malpighiales; Euphorbiaceae
Source: RNAcentral